Molecule: ribosomal RNA, 289 nt
Filed under: uncultured Kushneria sp.
Lineage: Bacteria; Pseudomonadati; Pseudomonadota; Gammaproteobacteria; Oceanospirillales; Halomonadaceae
Description: partial 16S ribosomal RNA
Source: RNAcentral
CUACAAGGGUAUCUAAUCCUGUUUGCUACCCACGCUUUCGCGCCUCAGCGUCAGCGUCAGUCCAGAAGGCCGCCUUCGCCACUGGUAUUCCUCCCGAUCUCUACGCAUUUCACCGCUACACCGGGAAUUCCACCUUCCUCUCCUGCACUCUAGCCUGCCAGUUCCGAAUGCCGUUCCCGGGUUGAGCCCGGGGCUUACACAUCCGGCUUGGCAAGCCGCCUCCGCGCGCUUUACGCCCCGUAAUUCCGAUUAACGCUCGCACCCUCCGUAUUACCGCGGCUGCUGGCAC